This 454-nucleotide ribosomal RNA is filed under the name uncultured bacterium. Its description in RNAcentral is "bacterial SSU rRNA". It matches the Rfam family "Bacterial small subunit ribosomal RNA", at positions 346 to 793 of the family's 1533-position model. The record is from RNAcentral.
AGGCAGCAGUGGGGAAUAUUGCACAAUGGGCGCAAGCCUGAUGCAGCCAUGCCGCGUGUAUGAAGAAGGCCUUCGGGUUGUAAAGUACUUUCAGCAGUGAGGAAGGUGGAUACGUUAAUAGCGUAUUCAUUUGACGUUAGCUGCAGAAGAAGCACCGGCUAACUCCGUGCCAGCAGCCGCGGUAAUACGGAGGGUGCGAGCGUUAAUCGGAAUUACUGGGCGUAAAGCGCAUGCAGGUGGUUUGUUAAGUCAGAUGUGAAAGCCCGGGGCUCAACCUCGGAAUUGCAUUUGAAACUGGCAGACUAGAGUACUGUAGAGGGGGUAGAAUUUCAGGUGUAGCGGUGAAAUGCGUAGAGAUCUGAAGGAAUACCGGUGGCGAAGGCGGCCCCCUGGACAGAUACUGACACUCAGAUGCGAAAGCGUGGGGAGCAAACAGGAUUAGAUACCCUGGUAG